This 482-nucleotide ribosomal RNA is filed under the name uncultured bacterium. RNAcentral's name for it is "partial 16S ribosomal RNA". It matches the Rfam family "Bacterial small subunit ribosomal RNA", at positions 30 to 507 of the family's 1533-position model. The record is from RNAcentral.
AUUGAACGCUGGCGGCAUGCCUUACACAUGCCAGUCGAACGGUAACAGGUCUUCGGAUGCUGACGAGUGGCGAACGGGUGAGUAAUACAUCGGAACGUGCCCGAUCGUGGGGGAUAACGGAGCGAAAGCUUUGCUAAUACCGCAUACGAUCUACGGAUGAAAGCAGGGGACCGCAAGGCCUUGCGCGGACGGAGCGGCCGAUGGCAGAUUAGGUAGUUGGUGGGAUAAAAGCUUACCAAGCCGACGAUCUGUAGCUGGUCUGAGAGGACGACCAGCCACACGGGGACUGAGACACGGCCCAGACUCCUACGGGAGGCAGCAGUGGGGAAUUUUGGACAAUGGGCGAAAGCCUGAUCCAGCCAUGCCGCGUGCAGGAUGAAGGCCCUCGGGUUGUAAACUGCUUUUGUACGGAACGAAAAGACUCUUUCUAAUAAAGAGGGUCCAUGACGGUACCGUAAGAAUAAGCACCGGCUAACUACGUG